Long non-coding RNA from Xenopus laevis (African clawed frog), 719 nucleotides. RefSeq lists it as uncharacterized. NCBI's taxonomy places the organism in Eukaryota, Metazoa, Chordata, Amphibia, Anura, Pipidae. The record is from RefSeq and is a predicted model, not a curated record. The transcript is spliced from 2 exons.
UUUGAAGGAUGGACAUAAUAAUGUUUCAAUAGGUGAUACUGAACAAGUCAUUAUUUUUCACUGAAUAUUUAAAGGCAUCCUUUGGCAGAGAUUGAUCUGCAAAGCUUUUCCAGACAUCCUCAGCCGCUGUAUUUGUGGAUCUCUUAUGUAUGGGCACAACAUAUAAUACAGAAAGAUCUGUAAUUAGAGCAGCAUGAAACUAAAUGGUAUAAAUAGGAUAUUGUGUGUUCCUUUAGACUCAGCUAAUUAUAUCAGAAAGAAAAACAAAAAAAAAAAGUUUCUAAAAGAAUGCCAUAAAACAUGUUCUUACUGUAAGUACAUUACUGAAAGGGAUAUUUAUAAAACGCAGGAUAAAUCCUUAUCGUGAUAUAAUUACUCUUACUACACACACACACACACACACACGUGGAUUUAGGAUCAAAAAUGGCAGCUGCCCUUGAAACGUUAAAUCAGGAUUACUGCACUCUUUUAAGUGUGGAGAGGAAAGUCGUGGCGAAUGAGUGCAAAUAAAGCAUUUACUUUUUCAAGAUGACACUAUCACCCCCCCUUGUAAGAGUCAAUAAAGUGAGUGUGAGAAAUUAGAUGAGCCUCUGGAGAAGAAAACGGUGUCCAGCGUCCUCCUGCAACUAUGACAAAACUUGAGUCCAACAGCCUGAAACCGUUUACAAGUUGGUUGCUAGUUGUGUAUGCAUUGCAAUAAAUUUCACACCAUACUAGAA